RNAcentral lists this long non-coding RNA (1324 nucleotides) under Homo sapiens (human). RNAcentral describes it as "HSALNT0285593". Lineage: Eukaryota; Metazoa; Chordata; Mammalia; Primates; Hominidae. The record is from RNAcentral.
CUUUUCGGACUCAGCCCACUUGCACCCAAGUGAAUAAACAGUGUUAUUGCCCACACAAAGCCUGUCUGUUGGUCUCUUCACAUAGAUGUGCUUGACAUUUGGUGCCAUGACUCAGAUCGGGGGACCUCCCUUGGGAGAUCAAUCCCCUGUCCUCCUGCUACAUUUGGUGCCGUGACUUGGAUCAGGGGACCUCCCUCGGGAGAUCAAUCCCCUGUCUUCCUGCUCUUUGCUCUGUGAGAAAAUCCACCUAUGACGUCAGGUUCUCAGACCAGCCCAAGAAACACCUCACCAAUUUUAAAUUGGAGAGAUAGCAGAAACGUGUUUUUUCCAUGGAUCCAAAAUGCUGGUGGCACUGGUCAUGGACUCAGGAAGACAGUCUUCCCUUGGUGUCUAAUCACCGCGGGGACACCUGCCUGAUUAUUCACCCGCAUUCCAGAGGUGUUCGAUCACCAUGGGGACACCUGCCUUGAUCCUCCACCUUGGUGGGACCCACUGGAAAUCAGACUGCCCAGAUCACCCGGCAACCACUCCCAGAACCCCUAAAGCUCUGGCCCAAGGAUCUCUGACUGACUCCUUCCCAGAUCUGCUUGGCUUAGUGACUGAAGACUGACACUGCCCAAUUGCCUUGGAAAACCCCUGGACCGUCACAGAUGCUGAGCUUCGGGUAACUCUCACAGUGGAGGCUUUAUAUUUUAUAAAUAAAAAGACAGGAAUGUCAGGCCUCUGAGCUGAAACUCAGCCAUUAUAACUUCUGUGACCUGCACAUACACAUCCAGGUGGCCUGCAGGAGCCAAGAAGUCUGGAGCAGCCAAAAAAUCACAAAGAUGUAAAACAACCAGUUCCUGCCUUAACUGAUUAACCAAAAUUACAACAUUUUACCAUUGUGACUUGUCCCUGCCCUACCUUAGCUGAUCAAUCAACUUUGCAACAUUCUUCUUUUGGACAAUGAGUCUUAUGAUCUCCCCACCAUGUACCUUGUGACCCCCCCUCUGCUAACAAUAGAUAACCACCUUUUACUGUAAUUUUCCAUUACCUACCCAACUCCUAUAAAGCAAACCCUUCCCCAUCUCCCUUCACUGACUCUCUUUUCAGACUGAGCCCACUUGCACCCAAGUGAAUAAACAGUCUUAUUGCUCACACAAAGCCUGUUUGUUGGUCUCUUCACAUGGACGCGCUUGACAUAGGUUGCUGGGUACAUAGCACUGAGCAACCGGUACUUUAGUUAAAUGUCAGAGUCAGGGUUAAGAUCAAUAAAAGUUACAAUACAGUAACACUUGCCUAGACACAGUGGGAAAUCUUGUUUAUGAUGAUUUCCAGAUGAGAA